GCAUAUUGGCUAUGGAUGUUAAAGGCGCGAGUUGCCUGGGGAUGAGUCUGCGUUCUAUCAGCUAGUUGGUGGGGUAAGAGCCUACCAAGGCGAAGACGGAUAGCUGGUCUGAGAGGAUGAUCAGCCACACUGGCACUGAGACACGGGCCAGACUCCUACGGGAGGCAGCAGUAGGGAAUAUUGCGCAAUGGGCGAAAGCCUGACGCAGCGACGCCGCGUGAGUGAAGAAGGCCCUCUGGGUUGUAAAGCUCUGUAAGAGGGGAAGAAAAGGCCCGCAAGGGAGAUUGACGGUACCCUCAAAGUAAGGACCGGCUAAAUAAGUGCCAGCAGCCGCGGUAAUACUUAUGGUCCGAGCGUUGUCCGGAAUGACUGGGCGUAAAGGGUGCGUAGGCGGCCACAUAUGUCAGGUGUGAAAUCCCCGGGCUUAACCUGGGAACGGCGCUUGAAACUGUGUGGCUGGAGUAUGUGAGAGGUAAGCGGAAUUCCCGGAGUAGCGGUGAAAUGCGUAGAGAUCGGGAAGAACAUCAGUGGCGAAGGCGGCUUACUGGCACAUAACUGACGCUGAGGCACGAAAGCGUGGGGAGCGAACGGGAUUAGAUACCCCGGUAGUCCACGCCGUAAACGAUGUAUACUAGAUGUCAGGUUGAUAUACAAACUUGGUGUCGAAGCUAACGCGAUAAGUAUACCGCCUGGGGAGUACGGUCGCAAGAUUAAAACUCAAAGGAAUUGACGGGGGCCCGCACAAGCGGUGGAGCAUGUGGUUUAAUUCGAUGCAACGCGCAGAACCUUACCCGGUCUUGACAUCCUCUGGACGGACUUUAGAGAUAGAGUCUUCUUCUUCGGAAGCUGGAGUGACAGGUGCUGCAUGGCUGUCGUCAGCUCGUGUUGUGAGAUGUUGGGUUAAGUCCCGCAACGAGCGCAACCCUUGCCUUUAGUUGCCAUCAUUAAGUUGGGCACUCUAGAGGGACUGCCCGGGUCAACCGGGAGGAAGGCGGGGACGACGUCAAGUCCUCAUGGCCCUUAUGACCGGGGCUACACACGUGCUACAAUGGUAAGGACAAACUGAAGCGAGACGGUGACGUUUAGCGAAUCAUAAAAACCUUAUCUUAGUUCGGAUUGGAGUCUGCAACUCGACUCCAUGAAGCUGGAAUCGCUAGUAAUCGCGGAUUAGCAUGCCGCGGUGAAUACGUUCCCGGGCCUUGUACAC
This 1207-nucleotide ribosomal RNA is filed under the name metagenome. RNAcentral's name for it is "bacterial SSU rRNA". It matches the Rfam family "Bacterial small subunit ribosomal RNA", at positions 182 to 1388 of the family's 1533-position model. The record is from RNAcentral.